This 895-nucleotide ribosomal RNA is filed under the name Cladosporium allicinum. Its description in RNAcentral is "eukaryotic LSU rRNA". It matches the Rfam family "Eukaryotic large subunit ribosomal RNA", at positions 1 to 922 of the family's 3401-position model. Lineage: Eukaryota; Fungi; Ascomycota; Dothideomycetes; Cladosporiales; Cladosporiaceae. The record is from RNAcentral.
UGACCUCGGAUCAGGUAGGGAUACCCGCUGAACUUAAGCAUAUCAAUAAGCGGAGGAAAAGAAACCAACAGGGAUUGCUCUAGUAACGGCGAGUGAAGCAGCAAUAGCUCAAAUUUGAAAUCUGGCGUCUUCGACGUCCGAGUUGUAAUUUGUAGAGGAUGCUUCUGAGUGGCCACCGACCUAAGUUCCUUGGAACAGGACGUCAUAGAGGGUGAGAAUCCCGUAUGCGGUCGGAAAGGCGCUCUAUACGUAGCUCCUUCGACGAGUCGAGUUGUUUGGGAAUGCAGCUCUAAAUGGGAGGUAAAUUUCUUCUAAAGCUAAAUAUUGGCCAGAGACCGAUAGCGCACAAGUAGAGUGAUCGAAAGAUGAAAAGCACUUUGGAAAGAGAGUUAAAAAGCACGUGAAAUUGUUAAAAGGGAAGGGAUUGCAACCAGACUUGCUCGCGGUGUUCCGCCGGUCUUCUGACCGGUCUACUCGCCGCGUUGCAGGCCAGCAUCGUCUGGUGCCGCUGGAUAAGACUUGAGGAAUGUAGCUCCCUCGGGAGUGUUAUAGCCUCUUGUGAUGCAGCGAGCGCCGGGCGAGGUCCGCGCUUCGGCUAGGAUGCUGGCGUAAUGGUCGUAAUCCGCCCGUCUUGAAACACGGACCAAGGAGUCUAACAUCUAUGCGAGUGUUCGGGUGUCAAACCCCUACGCGUAAUGAAAGUGAACGGAGGUGAGAACCGCAAGGUGCAUCAUCGACCGAUCCUGAUGUCUUCGGAUGGAUUUGAGUAAGAGCAUAGCUGUUGGGACCCGAAAGAUGGUGAACUAUGCCUGAAUAGGGUGAAGCCAGAGGAAACUCUGGUGGAGGCUCGCAGCGGUUCUGACGUGCAAAUCGAUCGUCAAAUUUGGGUAUAGGG